This is a long non-coding RNA of Gasterosteus aculeatus aculeatus (three-spined stickleback), 2162 nucleotides long. NCBI's taxonomy places the organism in Eukaryota, Metazoa, Chordata, Actinopteri, Perciformes, Gasterosteidae. The record is from Ensembl.
CCAUUAAGCAGGGGAUGCUUUAGGGCGGGCGGGGCUACACAGUGAUUGACAGGUUUCUACCACAGUACGCACCGUCUCUGUAACUCUUCUGCAGUCCAAAUAUGGUCACUUCCGUUGCCCCGGUGGCAAAAAAACAACAUGGCGACGGCCAAAUCAGUGAAGUAGAGGCCUCAAAACGUCCUUCCACGCGGCGGCGGGAGGCGUCACGGCGGCUGCGUCCACUUCCUCUCUUCAGCCUGUGACAUCAGGAUGUCCUGCGUCGCUUCUCCGCGCACAUUAAAGUACACAAUCCAUUUCUCAUGAGCUCUCCUGUGAAAAAUCAUCACAUGAAAAUGUGCGCCGCUGUCUGAUCGGCUUACGUAAGCCUGAGUGCCGUAAGCCUAUUUCUAAAUAUAGCUCCUUUACAUAAAAUCUAUUAGCAUGGAGCUAAUGUGUAACAUGAAGAGGACACUUAAUGACCUUUGUGUUCUCGUGGCUGUGCGUUGCCGUCUGCAGUCCCGCGUUACAAAAGGAAAUACAUUAUUGUAUAUGUAAACAAUCAAUAUGUCUGUAUAGUACCUCGGAACACAAACAGAGCCUUAAUGACACAGCACACACACGCCGGGGUCACGUGAUCAACCUUCACAUUUCAAGAACACUGUGAAGCAGCCGGCAGGCUAGUUUGUUUCUUUACAAUCCUCGUGCUAAGCUAAAUUGGCUCCUUAUUUAAGGCUCAAAUAUGAUCCAUAAAUCAUGGUAAUAAUGCUCUUGUUGUCUUUUGGACGACCACGGCACCCCGGUAAUAACGCCACACCACAAGAGAUUAAUAAAAGGAGAUGGACGUCAUUGGGGAGGUCCUCCGACUCCCGCGUGGCUAAUUGGCGCUGCUGCUGGACGUGGUUUCGCCCGCUGGAGGACAGUCCACGAGGACACAUCAUGUCCUCCAGCAGAGACCGGUCCACGAGGACACGCCAGGUCCUCCAGCAGAGACCAGUCCACGAGGACACAUCAUGUCCUCCAGCAGAGACCAGUCCACCGAGGACACACCAGGUCCUCCAGCAGAGACAGUCCACAAGGACACACCAGGUCCUCCAGCAGAGACCAGUCCACCGAGGACACGCCAGGUCCUCCAGCAGAGACCGGUCCACGAGGACAGACCCACAUCCUUCGGACCUGCAGUCAGAACUCUAAUACUUUUUUCAUCGCGUGCAUCUCUGGGAGCGUCGACACGUUGACGGUCACAUACAGCAGUCUGACCGCCCACAACCUUCUCAGGUGUUUCUUAUUCUUCAUGGACUGAAGAUAUUAAAGAUAUAAAACUACGCUGUUCCAGAAAAGCAAAUGUCAGAGGGAAAACCAAAAUGAACAUGAAUGUCAGGAUGGACGGCGUCUUCUUCUUUGGAAGAGGAUCCAGAAAAGCUUCCUGAUCACCUUUCUUCUUCUUCUUCAUAGCGAGAAGGUCCCACUGGUUCCAGAUGAGGAACAAAGUUCCCGUAGAUCGCUGUAACCACACCCGCUGCCCGCCGGCCCUUUAAGUCGGACCAGAACACUCCAAGGAGCGACAACUGCUUUGUCUUUGAGCGCACAGCAAAUAUUUACAAAGUCUGUUCAACAGGACACGUGACAGUGACCUUUGACCCCCGGUGGAGUCGAGUUCCACACGAGUUUCAAACAUUGAUUUUGGGGAGGGCUGUUUUUCGAGCUUUGUUUACUCGGGUCCGGACUUGCCGGCGACCUUUCACCUGACUGUGAUUCAUUGCCCGUCCCGUGAAACCGCUCCGGAGGCCGGAAGCAUGAAUCACGCACGUAAACUGAUGUGCUACAAAAAGAGUGCGAGCGCCGCGCACACACUUCAGCCGCGGCGUGCACGCGGUGCUCCUGGGCCAGACAAGAAGGUGGGGACGAGAUAUGAAGACCCAGAAGGAACCUGCUAUCGAAGCGGAUUCCUUCCUCUCGUCGGGCCGGAGCGGUCGAUGUAAUUACUCUCCGUCUCUUCAAGCGGCUUCGUGAAUGAAUGAACGUUUGAUUGUUGAUGUUCACAUUUGGGCUUUUUCGCGCACACGACUUUGUGAUUCAGGCCCCUGGAGUUUGUAACGGGGGCUAAAAAUAGAAAUUGGGUUAGGGCGCUGUCAACUAAAUAGUACUAGCCCAAAUCGUUUAAACCGUUUACUGGAUAGGUACUG